Molecule: ribosomal RNA, 668 nt
Filed under: uncultured Bacilli bacterium
Lineage: Bacteria; Bacillati; Bacillota; Bacilli
Description: bacterial SSU rRNA
Rfam family: Bacterial small subunit ribosomal RNA
Source: RNAcentral
GAAAAAGAGGAGUGGCGAACGGGUGAGUAACACGUGGGUAACCUGCCCAUCAGAAGGGGAUAACACUUGGAAACAGGUGCUAAUACCGUAUAACAAUCGAAACCGCAUGGUUUUGAUUUGAAAGGCGCUUUCGGGUGUCGCUGAUGGAUGGACCCGCGGUGCAUUAGCUAGUUGGUGAGGUAACGGCUCACCAAGGCCACGAUGCAUAGCCGACCUGAGAGGGUGAUCGGCCACAUUGGGACUGAGACACGGCCCAAACUCCUACGGGAGGCAGCAGUAGGGAAUCUUCGGCAAUGGACGAAAGUCUGACCGAGCAACGCCGCGUGAGUGAAGAAGGUUUUCGGAUCGUAAAACUCUGUUGUUAGAGAAGAACAAGGAUGAGAGUAACUGUUCAUCCCUUGACGGUAUCUAACCAGAAAGCCACGGCUAACUACGUGCCAGCAGCCGCGGUAAUACGUAGGUGGCAAGUGUUGUCCGGAUUUAUUGGGCGUAAAGCGAGCGCAGGCGGUUUCUUAAGUCUGAUGUGAAAGCCCCCGGCUCAACCGGGGAGGGUCAUUGGAAACUGGGAGACUUGAGUGCAGAAGAGGAGAGUGGAAUUCCAUGUGUAGCGGUGAAAUGCGUAGAUAUAUGGAGGAACACCAGUGGCGAAGGCGGCUCUCUGGUCUGUA